CCUACGGGAGGCAGCAGUGGGGAAUAUUGCACAAUGGGGGAAACCCUGAUGCAGCGACGCCGCGUGAGUGAAGAAGUAUCUCGGUACGUAAAGCUCUAUCAGCAGGGAAGAAAAUGACGGUACCUGACUAAGAAGCCCCGGCUAACUACGUGACCGCAGCCGCGGUAAUACGGAGGGGGCAAGCGUUAUCCGGAUUUACUGGGUGUAAAGGGAGCGUAGACGGUAUCAGAAGUCUGGAGGGAAAUCCCCGGGCUUAACCCCGGAACUGCUUUGGAAACUGCGCGGCUUGAGUGCAGGAGGGGUAAGCGGAAUUCGUAGUGUAGCGGUGAAAUGCGUAGAUAUUACGAGGAACACCGGUGGCGAAGGCGGUUUACUGGACUGUAACUGACGUUGAGGCUCGAAAGCGUGGGGAGCAAACAGGAUUAGAUACCCGAGUAGUC
RNAcentral lists this ribosomal RNA (440 nucleotides) under uncultured bacterium. RNAcentral's name for it is "partial 16S ribosomal RNA". It matches the Rfam family "Bacterial small subunit ribosomal RNA", at positions 338 to 795 of the family's 1533-position model. The record is from RNAcentral.